UACGGGGGGGGGCAAGCGUUGUUCGGAAUUACUGGGCGUAAAGGGCUCGUAGGCGGCCCUCUCAGUCGGAUGUGAAAUCCCCAGGCUCAACUUGGGAACGGCAUCCGAUACUGGAGGGCUUGAAUUCGGGAGAGGGAUGCAGAAUUCCAGGUGUAGCGGUGAAAUGCGUAGAUAUCUGGAGGAAUACCGGUGGCGAAGGCGGCAUCCUGGACCGAGAUUGACGCUGAGGAGCGAAAGCUAGGGGGAGCAAACGGGG
This 256-nucleotide ribosomal RNA is filed under the name uncultured bacterium. RNAcentral's name for it is "partial 16S ribosomal RNA". It matches the Rfam family "Bacterial small subunit ribosomal RNA", at positions 524 to 777 of the family's 1533-position model. The record is from RNAcentral.